GAUGAACGCUAGCUACAGGCUUAACACAUGCAAGUCGAGGGGAAACGAUGAGAGAGCUUGCUCUCUUAGUCGUCGACCGGCGCACGGGUGAGUAACGCGUAUCCAACCUGCCUCUGACCAAGGGAUAACCCGUCGAAAGUCGGACUAAUACCUUAUGCAGUCGUCGGAAGUCAUCUGAUGACGACGAAAGAUUUCAUCGGUGAGAGAUGGGGAUGCGUCUGAUUAGCUUGUUGGCGGGGUAACGGCCCACCAAGGCGACGAUCAGUAGGGGUUCUGAGAGGAAGGUCCCCCACAUUGGAACUGAGACACGGUCCAAACUCCUACGGGAGGCAGCAGUGAGGAAUAUUGGUGAAUGGGCGUAAGCCUGAACCAGCCAAGUAGCGUGCAGGAUGACGGCCCUAUGGGUUGUAAACUGCUUUUAGGCGGGGAUAAAGUGAGGGACGUGUCCCUCAUUGCAGGUACCGCAUGAAUAAGGACCGGCUAAUUCCGUG
RNAcentral lists this ribosomal RNA (491 nucleotides) under uncultured bacterium. RNAcentral describes it as "partial 16S ribosomal RNA". It matches the Rfam family "Bacterial small subunit ribosomal RNA", at positions 28 to 507 of the family's 1533-position model. The record is from RNAcentral.